Molecule: long non-coding RNA, 1025 nt
Organism: Quercus robur (English oak)
Lineage: Eukaryota; Viridiplantae; Streptophyta; Magnoliopsida; Fagales; Fagaceae
Exons: 5
Source: RefSeq, a predicted model, not a curated record
UCUACAGUUGUAUGCAACUAUGGAGCUAAAGAAAGGAAAUUAGUAUACUUAUUUCAAAAGUUGUGAUAUCUGUUGAGAUAAAUUUUAAUUGAGAAAAUUUUAUCCACGGGUGGAUAAAUGUUGAUAUUGCUAAUUAUGUUUUUUUUUUUUCCACGGUUUGUAAAUGUAGAAAAUCAGGAACGCACUUCCCUCUAUGAAAUUAUGUUUUUACUCUGAUUCUCCCUUCUUCUUUUUUUUUCAGUAGCGUUGUUCUCCCCCUCUCUCUCUGUAACGCCCUCAUCUCUCUCUCAGGAAAACCUAAGUCUGUAGAUCGAUUUCUUUUGGUUUCGUUUGCUCGAAUUGGAAAAUUUCAAUUUCAAGGCUUCGUGUACUGCAUUUCUUGGAGGGUAGAUCUUUAUUGCCAAAGGCACUUGCAAAAAGGAUCUCAACUUUAUCAAUGAGGAGGCUCCUGAAAACAAUCCAGCACACACUACUAUCUAUGUUGGCAACCUUUCCCAUGAGGCGUGGACUAAUGGAAGGCUAAAGAGUGUUGUACAUAGAGCAGUAGUGGUAAACAAAGAGAAGCAAAGGCUCUUCAGAAAGCCAGGUGAUGUUAUAGUAGCUACAGAAAAUUAUAUUGAAGAACAUGGAACAAAGAGAAGCAAAUGCUCUUUAGAAAGGCAAGUGAUGUUUUAGCCACAACAGAAAAUUAUUUUGAAGAACAUGGAACAGAAGCAUUUGAAAUGCUUAUAGCCACUAGCAAGAUUUCGUGGAUUACCACAUGGACUGCUUAUUUUUUGCAAAAGCAAAACCCAUCAACAACAAAGUGUUAAAGACUUGAAUGCCAAAAAUCAUUGCAGCAAUUGCCGUAGCUGGUACUGACCUAUAAGCUUAUUCAAUAUGACCUACAAUUAUGUCUCAAAAGUUUUUUCUCAGUGACGGUGGUAGAAGAGUUGGUGACGGCGGCGGUGGUGGCGGUGGUAAUGGGGGUGGUAGCGGUUGCGGUGGUUGUGAUUAUUGUUUAUUGUAGUGGAUAUAUUAUUUUA